CCCGCACAAGCGGUGGAGCAUGUGGUUUAAUUCGACGCAACGCGAAGAACCUUACCUGGGCUUGACAUCUGCGGAAUUUCUAUGAAAGUAGGAAGUGCCCUUCGGGGAGCCGCAAGACAGGUGCUGCAUGGCUGUCGUCAGCUCGUGUCGUGAGAUGUUGGGUUAAGUCUCGCAACGAGCGCAACCCCUAUUGUUAGUUGCCAUCAUUCAGUUGGGCACUCUAGCGAGACUGCCGGUAAUAAACCGGAGGAAGGUGGGAUGACGUCAAAUCAUCAUGCCCCUUAUGACCUGGGCUACACACGUGCUACAAUGGUUGGUACAACGAGUUGCGAGUCGGUGACGGCGAGCUAAUCUCUUAAAGCCAAUCUCAGUUCGGAUUGUAGGCUGCAACUCGCCUACAUGAAGUCGGAAUCGCUAGUAAUCGCGGAUCAGCACGCCGCGGUGAAUACGUUCCCGGGCCUU
This 462-nucleotide ribosomal RNA is filed under the name uncultured Smithella sp. Its description in RNAcentral is "bacterial SSU rRNA". It matches the Rfam family "Bacterial small subunit ribosomal RNA", at positions 920 to 1382 of the family's 1533-position model. The record is from RNAcentral. Lineage: Bacteria; Pseudomonadati; Thermodesulfobacteriota; Syntrophia; Syntrophales; Smithellaceae.